Molecule: long non-coding RNA, 384 nt
Filed under: Glycine max (soybean)
Lineage: Eukaryota; Viridiplantae; Streptophyta; Magnoliopsida; Fabales; Fabaceae
Description: long non-coding RNA (GMAX_LNC001782)
Source: RNAcentral
CUCUAGUCCUAUUGUUGCAACCCUUGCAUGGGCAAAGCGCCGUAACCUUCAGCACCCCGCUGUUAUCCUGUUCCAAAAAUCAGACCACAAAAAAUUAGACAAAAAAGGGGAAAAAUAGAUAAAAAUGGAACCUUUAUUCUUCAAUAGCCUGUCCCAAUCCUUGCAUGGGCAAAGCGCCGUAAUCUUCAGCACCAUUGUUAGACUGUCCCAAAAAUCAAACCACAAAAAAUUAGACAAAAAAAACAAGAAAAAAAAUAGAAUAUUGAUGGGAAACAGAAUAUGGACGAACGCAAAAGAAUAAAGGAGGAGAAACAAAAGCGGAGAAGUUGAGGAAGAGAAAGAAAGGGGAAUUGAAUAUUGACAGAGAAGAAAAGAGGAGAAGUU